CUGCUGCCUCCCGUAGGAGUUUGGGCCGUGUCUCAGUCCCAAUGUGGCCGUCCACCCUCUCAGGCCGGCUACUGAUCGUCGCCUUGGUGGGCCUUUACCCCGCCAACCAGCUAAUCAGACGCGGGUCCAUCCCAUACCACCUUGGUUUUCAAACAAAAAGCAUGCGCUUUCUGUUGUUAUGCGGUAUUAGCACCUAUUUCUAAGUGUUAUCCCCCUGUAUGGGCCAGGUUACCCACGCGUUACUCACCCGUCCGCCACUAAGCCUUUCCCUUUUCCG
This 277-nucleotide ribosomal RNA is filed under the name uncultured bacterium. RNAcentral describes it as "partial 16S ribosomal RNA". The record is from RNAcentral.